UGGGGAAUUUUGGACAAUGGGCGAAAGCCUGAUCCAGCAAUGCCGCGUGUGUGAAGAAGGCCUUCGGGUUGUAAAGCACUUUUGUCCGGAAAGAAAUCCUUGGCUCUAAUACAGUCGGGGGAUGACGGUACCGGAAGAAUAAGCACCGGCUAACUACGUGCCAGCAGCCGCGGUAAUACGUAGGGUGCAAGCGUUAAUCGGAAUUACUGGGCGUAAAGCGUGCGCAGGCGGUUUGCUAAGACCGAUGUGAAAUCCCCGGGCUCAACCUGGGAACUGCAUUGGUGACUGGCAGGCUAGAGUAUGGCAGAGGGGGGUAGAAUUCCACGUGUAGCAGUGAAAUGCGUAGAGAUGUGGAGGAAUACCGAUGGCGAAGGCAGCCCCCUGGGCCAAUACUGACGCUCAUGCACGAAAGCGUGGGGAGCAAACAGGAUUAGAUACCCUGGUAGUCCCACGCCCUAAACGAUGUCAACUAGUUGUUGGGGAUUCAUUUCCUUAGUAACGUAGCUAACGCGUGAAGUUGACCGCCUGGGGAGUACGGUCGCAAGAUUCAAAACUCAAA
RNAcentral lists this ribosomal RNA (559 nucleotides) under uncultured bacterium. RNAcentral's name for it is "partial 16S ribosomal RNA". It matches the Rfam family "Bacterial small subunit ribosomal RNA", at positions 355 to 905 of the family's 1533-position model. The record is from RNAcentral.